GCAGGCGGCAGAGGCGGCCACCUGCCUCCCACCGAAGGGCACUUGCUUGCGGGUUGUUGAUGUGGGAAACGCCCCCCCCCCCUUUGCAGACGGGGCAGGAGGCGGGAGUUGGAGAUGGACUCAGAAAAAUCCACACCCCGCCCCCAAAUAUUUCAUUUUCUGGAUGGAGGGCCUGGAGAUUUCUCACAUGUAUUAUGAAGAAGGACACAGUGUGAAUCCAAUUUUGGAACCAGGAGUUGGAUACGAGGCUUGGUCCACCCACGACAUGCAUUGACCUGAUAUUGCAGGGCCCAGUGCAAUUUCCUUUUUGGUUUAGGAACAGCCAUCUUCAAAGGGCCACCACAUGCAAGAUGGAUCAAGCUUGUUUUCUCCUGUUUUGGGAGCUAGGAUCCAUGGCUUAUUCACACCUCCAUUUCCCCUGCUGCUUUCCCUCAGGGAAACCCAAUCUGUAGAGCUGAAUUGGAACAAACAGCAAUUGGGCUUUCUGUGGAUUGCCAUUUGUUCUGAUUUAGCACUAAAGAGCAGAUUUUCAAGGGGAAAGUAGUGGGGUAAAGGCAAAACUGCUCAGACUCGUGCCUAGAAUGCACUGGACCAGUGGAAAAUUGCUUGGACCCAUGCUUUCUAGGCACUGGACAAGCAGAAGUGUGAUCAAGCCUUAAAUUGUUGUACUUCACAUGAUUAUAAUGAAGAUUUGUUAGAAAUGGCCUAGCAUUGAUGUAACUUUGACUUCUUAAUUCUGAGGUUGUAUAGUGCUUAAUAUUAGCAGCAGGGUAAUAAGUCUGGGGGGACACGGGUGGCGCUGUGGGUUAAACCACAGAGCCUAGGACUUGCUGAUCGGAA
This is a non-coding RNA of Podarcis muralis (Common wall lizard), 840 nucleotides long. NCBI's taxonomy places the organism in Eukaryota, Metazoa, Chordata, Lepidosauria, Squamata, Lacertidae. The record is from RefSeq and is a predicted model, not a curated record.